UGGGGAAUAUUGGACAAUGGGCGAAAGCCUGAUCCAGCCAUGCCGCGUGUGUGAAGAAGGUCUUCGGAUUGUAAACCACUUUAAGUUGGGAGGAAGGGCAGUAAGCGAAUACCUUGCUGUUUUGACGUUACCGACAGAAUAAGCACCGGCUAACUCUGUGCCAGCAGCCGCGGUAAUACAGAGGGUGCAAGCGUUAAUCGGAUUUACUGGGCGUAAAGCGUGCGUAGGCGGCUAAUUGAGUCGGAUGUGAAAUCCCCGAGCUUAACUAGGGAAUUGCAUUCGAUACUGGUUAGCUGGAGUGUGGGAGAGGAUGGUAGAAUUCCAGGUGUAGCGGUGAAAUGCGUAGAGAUCUGGAGGAAUACCGAUGGCGAAGGCAGCCAUCUGGCCUAACACUGACGCUGAGGUACGAAAGCAUGGGGAGCAAACAGG
RNAcentral lists this ribosomal RNA (429 nucleotides) under Pseudomonadota bacterium. RNAcentral's name for it is "Proteobacteria bacterium partial 16S ribosomal RNA". It matches the Rfam family "Bacterial small subunit ribosomal RNA", at positions 355 to 776 of the family's 1533-position model. Lineage: Bacteria; Pseudomonadati; Pseudomonadota. The record is from RNAcentral.